Molecule: ribosomal RNA, 987 nt
Filed under: Monothalamids sp.
Lineage: Eukaryota; Foraminifera
Description: SSU rRNA
Rfam family: Eukaryotic small subunit ribosomal RNA
Source: RNAcentral
AAGGGCACCACAAGAACGCGUGGAGCAUGUGGCUUAAUUUGACUCAACGCGGGAAAUCUUACCGGGUCCGGACACACUGAGGAUUGACAGGCAAUAAUAUCUAUUCAUUGCUUUUUUUAGUUUUGAAUUUAUAUACAAAUAUGCUAGUCCUUUCAUGAUUAUGUGAUAGGUGGCGCAUGGCCGUUCUUAGUUCGUGGAGUGAUCUGUCUGCUUAAUUGCGUUUCAUUAUGGACUAUGAUAUAUAUGUUGCGUGGUUUAUCUUGACUACUCUUCAAUGUUUUCGAUUUGUUUUCAUUAUUUGGUCUCUUUUGGCCUUAUUCUGUCUUCCAGUUGUUCUCAUUUGUAGUUCUUGAUAGAUUUGCGUACUUCUGGCCCUGAAAGCAACGAACGUGACCGCAUCCUCUUGUUGCCUCUUAUAUCUGUACAAAAUAAAAGAUACAUUAACUUUCACACUUGUGUGUUUGUUAUGCAUUUUUUUGUUACUUUGUGCUAACCAAAGAGUGCUUUCUAAAACUAGAGGGACCGCUGAGCCUUUUUUAAACCAGAGGAAGGUUGCGGCAAUAACAGGUCUGUGAUGCCCUUAGAUGUUCCGGGCUGCACACGUGCUACAAUGAUUAUUGCAGUGAGCAUCUCAUUUUUUAACACUGUAGCCAACGAUUUGUAUUUACUUAUGAAUUGUUGCAUCAGUUAAGCCUGCUUCGAAAGUUCGCAGGUAACCAAUUGGAAGUAAUGAUUUCCCUUAACUCAAAUUAAAUUUUGAUUUUGAGUAAGCACACAAUAUGCUGCUCUCCUCCCGGGUUCUUGGCAAUCUUGUCCGAGUUCCUUUGAGUGGGGAGAUGUUUUUCAGCAUGUGCUUUUGUCAAUUCAUGGUGGGGACAGACCAUUGUUAAUUGUUGGUCUCGGUCUCAACUAGGAAUGCCUUGUACGGGUCUUUGGUUCAACAAACCACCCGGAAUACGUCCCUGCCCUUUGUACACACCGCCCGUC